CGCCCGCCGGAGCCGGCCCGGGCACGUGGGGGACGACCCCGGACCGCGCCGGAUCCCCCGCGCCUCGGCCUGGCCUGCUUCGGGGCGCAGAGAAGGGGAAUCCCGCUGCCCCGGGAUGCUUCCUGCAGUCCCCCACCCCAAAUAACCGCGAGAGAGAAAUCUUGUCACUGCAUUGAGCACAAGUAGAUCUUCCUUUGGUAUUAACCAGGAGUACCUCAGCUGCAGGACAACAUACAAGGACAGAAAUCAUUGACCUCCUCCUGGCAUCAGGACCAGAAAUACUAACUUAAG
RNAcentral lists this long non-coding RNA (291 nucleotides) under Crocodylus porosus (Australian saltwater crocodile). Its description in RNAcentral is "lncRNA (ENSCPRG00005010955.1)". The record is from RNAcentral. Lineage: Eukaryota; Metazoa; Chordata; Crocodylia; Crocodylidae.